GAUGAACGCUGGCGGCGUGCCUAAUACAUGCAAGUCGAGCGAACGGACGAGAAGCUUGCUUCUCUGAUGUUAGCGGCGGACGGGUGAGUAACACGUGGAUAACCUACCUAUAAGACUGGGAUAACUUCGGGAAACCGGAGCUAAUACCGGAUAAUAUUUUGAACCGCAUGGUUCAAAAGUGAAAGACGGUCUUGCUGUCACUUAUAGAUGGAUCCGCGCUGCAUUAGCUAGUUGGUAAGGUAACGGCUUACCAAGGCAACGAUGCAUAGCCGACCUGAGAGGGUGAUCGGCCACACUGGAGCUGAGCCACGGUCCAGACUCCUACGGGAGGCAGCAGUAGGGAAUCUUCCGCAAUGGGCGAAAGCCUGACGGAGCAACGCCGCGUGAGUGAUGAAGGUCUUCGGAUCGUAAAACUCUGUUAUUAGGGAAGAACAUAUGUGUAAGUAACUGUGCACAUCUUGACGGUACCUAAUCAGAAAGCCACGGCUAACUACGUG
Molecule: ribosomal RNA, 497 nt
Filed under: uncultured bacterium
Lineage: Bacteria
Description: partial 16S ribosomal RNA
Rfam family: Bacterial small subunit ribosomal RNA
Source: RNAcentral